GUCGAACGAACUCUGGUAUUGAUUGGUGCUUGCAUCAUGAUUUACAUUUGAGUGAGUGGCGAACUGGUGAGUAACACGUGGGAAACCUGCCCAGAAGCGGGGGAUAACACCUGGAAACAGAUGCUAAUACCGCAUAACAACUUGGACCGCAUGGUCCGAGUUUGAAAGAUGGCUUCGGCUAUCACUUUUGGAUGGUCCCGCGGCGUAUUAGCUAGAUGGUGAGGUAACGGCUCACCAUGGCAAUGAUACGUAGCCGACCUGAGAGGGUAAUCGGCCACAUUGGGACUGAGACACGGCCCAAACUCCUACGGGAGGCAGCAGUAGGGAAUCUUCCACAAUGGACGAAAGUCUGAUGGAGCAACGCCGCGUGAGUGAAGAAGGGUUUCGGCUCGUAAAACUCUGUUGUUAAAGAAGAACAUAUCUGAGAGUAACUGUUCAGGUAUUGACGGUAUUUAACCAGAAAGCCACGGCUAACUACGUGCCAGCAGCCGCGGUAAUACGUAGGUGGCAAGCGUUGUCCGGAUUUAUUGGGCGUAAAGCGAGCGCAGGCGGUUUUUUAAGUCUGAUGUGAAAGCCUUCGGCUCAACCGAAGAAGUGCAUCGGAAACUGGGAAACUUGAGUGCAGAAGAGGACAGUGGAACUCCAUGUGUAGCGGUGAAAUGCGUAGAUAUAUGGAAGAACACCAGUGGCGAAGGCGGCUGUCUGGUCUGUAACUGACGCUGAGGCUCGAAAGUAUGGGUAGCAAACAGGAUUAGAUACCCUGGUAGUCCAUACCGUAAACGAUGAAUGCUAAGUGUUGGAGGGUUUCCGCCCUUCAGUGCUGCAGCUAACGCAUUAAGCAUUCCGCCUGGGGAGUACGGCCGCAAGGCUGAAACUCAAAGGAAUUGACGGGGGCCCGCACAAGCGGUGGAGCAUGUGGUUUAAUUCGAAGCUACGCGAAGAACCUUACCAGGUCUUGACAUACUAUGCAAAUCUAAGAGAUUAGACGUUCCCUUCGGGGACAUGGAUACAGGUGGUGCAUGGUUGUCGUCAGCUCGUGUCGUGAGAUGUUGGGUUAAGUCCCGCAACGAGCGCAACCCUUAUUAUCAGUUGCCAGCAUUAAGUUGGGCACUCUGGUGAGACUGCCGGUGACAAACCGGAGGAAGGUGGGGAUGACGUCAAAUCAUCAUGCCCCUUAUGACCUGGGCUACACACGUGCUACAAUGGAUGGUACAACGAGUUGCGAACUCGCGAGAGUAAGCUAAUCUCUUAAAGCCAUUCUCAGUUCGGAUUGUAGGCUGCAACUCGCCUACAUGAAGUCGGAAUCGCUAGUAAUCGCGGAUCAGCAUGCCGCGGUGAAUACGUUCCCGGGCCUUGUACACACCGCCCGUCACACCAUGAGAGUUUGUAACACCCAAAGUCGGUGGGGUAAC
This 1412-nucleotide ribosomal RNA is filed under the name Lactiplantibacillus plantarum. RNAcentral describes it as "bacterial SSU rRNA". It matches the Rfam family "Bacterial small subunit ribosomal RNA", at positions 61 to 1439 of the family's 1533-position model. The record is from RNAcentral. Lineage: Bacteria; Bacillati; Bacillota; Bacilli; Lactobacillales; Lactobacillaceae.